GGACGUGGACUGCGGUCGCAGGCUUACUUUGCAGAGGUGAUUUAAAGGUUUGAUUCCUUCGCGUUCU
This 67-nucleotide transfer RNA is filed under the name Hysteromorpha triloba. Its description in RNAcentral is "tRNA-Cys". The record is from RNAcentral. Lineage: Eukaryota; Metazoa; Platyhelminthes; Trematoda; Diplostomida; Diplostomidae.